AAGAUAAAUAAAGGUAAAAGGUCUCCCUGUUUCAAAUUUCCUUCUCUCUCGCUUUCUUCGAUGUUCUUUCUCUUGUCAAUUCCGUCUCUCUGCGAAUCCUUUUGAAACAUCUGCCGCAAUUUGAAUCGCAAUCAGCACAUCGAGGGACAAGUGUGAGAGAGGAGCGUUGUGUCGGUUCAUUGUUGGGUAUGCUGGUUCAGAGGAGAGUGAUGAUAAGCUGGAGGAGAGUGGGCAAGUCACUUCACGCACUUGCUGCCCAUUCCUUGCUCUUCUCCUUCACGAUUUUUCUUGCUCUCAAGCUACAACUCAUCGCCAAGUUCUACUCCUGGUGGAUUGUAUUUGCACCAUUAUGGCUAUUUCAUGCGGUUGUGGCACGAAACAGAUUUUCAUUGCCUGCUCCAGCAAUGCCUCAUGGUCGCGAAUGGGCGCCAUUUCACACUGUCAUGGCAACACCGUUGUUUGUCGCUUUUGAACUACUCCUUUGUAUACACCUUGAAAGACAAUAUGUUGUGAACUUGAAGAUUGUGUUUGUGCCCAUCUUGACAUUUGAAACAGCCAUAUUGAUUGAUAAUAUCAGGAUGUGUCGGGCUUUGAUCCCCGGAGAUGAUGAAAGAAUGAGUGAUGAAGCGAUAUGGGAGACCCUUCCUCACUUUUGGGUUGCAAUUUCAAUGGUCUUUUUCAUAGCUGCAACAACAUUCACUCUAUUGAAGUUAUGCGGUGAUGUUGCAGCUCUGGGUUGGUGGGACUUAUUUAUAAAUUUUGGUAUUGCGGAGUGCUUUGCCUUCCUUGUUUGCACAAAAUGGUACAAUCCUGCUAUUCAUAGGCAUUCACAUAUUGGAGAAUCUAGCUCAAAUUCAGUAACUAUUCAAUAUCUUGAUUGGAAUAGAGGGUUAGUAGUUACUUCCGAAGAAGAUCAGGACCAAAGCAGGAUAUGCAAUUUGCAGGAUAUUGGUGGACAUAUCAUGAAAAUUCCUUUUAUUAUUUUUCAAAUACUCCUUUUCAUGCACCUAGAGGGAACACCACCUAGUGCUAGAGAUAUCUCAUUUCCAGUUUUAUUUGUUCCGCUUUUUCUGCUACAAGGAGCUGGCGUUCUGUUUGCUGCAUAUAGAUUGGUGGAGAAAUUUUUUCUUUUGGAUAAUAUUGGAGCUUUUUCGGGAAGAUACUUUGCUUUAUCAUCAAAGGCUAUAGAUUGCUUUGGGUUCUUGCACCAUGGAUCGAGGUUACUGGGAUGGUGGUCAAUUGAUGAAGGAAGUCGAGAAGAGCAGGCCAGACUUUAUUGUACUGGAGUUUCUGGGUACGAUACUUUUGCACCUGAUACUGUGAAGAAAAUGCCUAAAUCGGAUCUUGUUGAGGAGAUUUGGAGACUACGGACUGCCCUUAGUGAGCAAACAACAAUUACAAUGUUUAGCCACCAGGAGUACGAAAGGCUACACAAUGUAAUAUCAAGAAAAAGCUCAGCUUUGUUGUUUUCAAUUCUUGCACUAAAUCUUGUUUCAAAGAAUCUAUCAAACUUUAUUAACCUCAUUAUCUAAUAAAUCUGUUAGGAAAAGAUCCUGUGCAGAGUUUGCUUCGAAGAACAUAUCAAUGUAGUCCUGCUUCCAUGCAGACAUCACGCCCUAUGCAGAUAAGAAGAUGAGUCCCCGGCAACUUUAGUGAAAUUUUACCCAUUCCAGUGCUAGCAUAAAGCAUCUUCACUGCGAUGAAGAUGCUUCGCGAACUAAUAAUUAAGGUUUCUCUACUGACAAACCUUUUUGGUGGAUGCGCAGCACUUGCUGCGAGAAGUGUAAGAAGUGCCCAAUGUGCCGCAUUCCCAUUGAAGAAAGAUUGGCUGUAUACGAUGUGUAGCUUCCCCUUUUAUUGGAAAGUACAGGUAUAUAUAUUCUUCUCCUUCAAAAUAUUAUUCAACCAUUGCUUGUGAUUUUUGGAAGCAAGCUCUGUGAAACUCUCUGUUAUGGUAGCUCCCAUCAUUUAAGAUGCAGUGUGGGCCCAUUUGAACAACUGUAAAUAUCUUUCUGGAUAAUUUGAAGAACUGUAAAUAUAUUUCUGCAUAA
RNA transcript from Tripterygium wilfordii, 2051 nucleotides. RefSeq lists it as uncharacterized. The record is from RefSeq and is a predicted model, not a curated record. The transcript is spliced from 13 exons. NCBI's taxonomy places the organism in Eukaryota, Viridiplantae, Streptophyta, Magnoliopsida, Celastrales, Celastraceae.